CAGUCGCCACGGUAAUACGUAGGGUGCAAGCGUUAAUCGGAAUUACUGGGCGUAAAGCGUGCGCAGGCGGUUUGUUAAGACAGAUGUGAAAUCCCCGGGCUCAACCUGGGAACUGCAUUUGUGACUGGCAAGCUAGAGUGUGGCAGAGGGGGGUGGAAUUCCGCGUGUAGCAGUGAAAUGCGUAGAUAUGCGGAGGAACACCGAUGGCGAAGGCAGCCCCCUGGGCCAACACUGACGCUCAUGCACGAAAGCGUGGGGAGCAAACAGGAUUAGAUACCCCGGUAGUCCCUGUCUCUUAUAC
Molecule: ribosomal RNA, 301 nt
Filed under: uncultured bacterium
Lineage: Bacteria
Description: partial 16S ribosomal RNA
Rfam family: Bacterial small subunit ribosomal RNA
Source: RNAcentral